UAUCCUUGAGCCAAACACUCUUUCAAGCCACUACAUCAAAAACAUGGACAACUUACUUUUAAACAGUUUAUUACAUUUCAUUUGAACAAUGAGGGAAAACACAAUUACAACAAGUGAAAGACAUAAGUAGAAUGACCACAGUUAAAGAGCUGACUAUUCAUUUUGGCACUCCCUCUUCCUGUGGCUCAAAUUAUCCUGGCUCAGCCAAAGAGGAAGGAUAUUUCUGCAAUGCAUAUUCUUUAAAAUCUCCAUAGGGGUGGGUACACUCCUUCACAUAAUCACUUUUGAAUUAACCUUAUAAAAUAAACUUUCCCCUAUUAGGAUGUUCUUAACUAGUUUUGAUUUGCAUAAAUACAUUAUGUUAGUCUGUGAUCAAAUAAAUACGAUGCAGAGCUAGUGUGCAAAGUUUAAGAUGGACUCUUUAAUGCUAUCCAUUGUAACAUUGUGGGAGAUGCUGUGGUAUUGUAGUCACCAUCCAGCAGCCAAAUACACACAGUGUGAAGUGUCUUUUGUGGUCCCACAGACCAAAUACAAAACUGUAAAAAUACAUAGCUAGUUAAAAAAAAGGACAAACAUGGAAAUGGUCACAAAUGUAGUUGUCAAUCCUCAGCCAAACUGCAACACCCAGUCCAGCAUACCAUUGGUUUAGGUCAAUGUCUCUCCUUUUGUGACCUAAACAGAAAAAGGGGGUUAGAGAACACAUUAUGAUGACAUCCAGUACUGUACAGGCAAAACAAACUGGAAACAUUUCAUGUAUUUACAACAUAGAAUUAGAGUGGCAAUUCUGAAACUUACCCUUGCUUCAAUGUACUCAAUUCUCCGCUCUAAUGCUGUCAGCUUUUCGUUCAGGGUGGCCAAACGAGACCGGCAGGACAUCGAAGGAAUUUAGAAAAUCUGCAAUUUUCUUGAUACUGCUCGUGAUAACCUCAAUGUAUUCUCGAUUUGCCCAGUCUUGGUGGAUCUCCCUCUGCACAGGAUCUUCUUGACCGGCCAUUUUCUCUGUUUUGAGGAAGCUGUGUUAGCGCUAGCUACCAGCAGGUAGCGACAGUUCCCUGAAAAGUGAACUACUUCUUUGGUGGGAUUUAUCGGCAUCCAACUUUAUGGUGCAUUAUCGCUGCCUACUGUAUUGGAGGUUGGGCCAGAGACGGGGAGAAACUAAAUCCUACCUGCCUGCCCCGUUUCUCUUAAAAUAUUAACUAUUUGAGACUGUAUCUAAUGACGUUCUACUCAAUAUACUCUUUAAACGAAUGUCAUGUAUCCCCUUCAUAUUAGAUCUAUGCCUCUAUUUCCCUAUUACUGCCCACACUAUCAAUACAUGCUCCACUGUCUGUUUCCUGGCAAUAAUUACACUUUCCUAUUGGAUGCUUUCUUAUCACAUUUAAAGUAUUAUUU
RNAcentral lists this long non-coding RNA (1392 nucleotides) under Salmo salar (Atlantic salmon). RNAcentral describes it as "lncRNA (ENSSSAG00000073258.2)". The record is from RNAcentral. Lineage: Eukaryota; Metazoa; Chordata; Actinopteri; Salmoniformes; Salmonidae.